AAUGUACUGGUUUUGAUUCAGCCUGUUUUUUCAGUCUCAACACUUACGUAUGCAUAUGUUCCUGUAUAAAUGUGUGUAUACACAGGGAAUUUCACAGCAUGAUGCUGGGGAAGUCCAAGAACAGAUCAGUAAAGCUGAGUAAGGUUGGAGAAUUGAAUCCUUCGAGGAAGAUCCUUGUAACUCUGCAAAGACACUGAUAUAAUUGGAUGGAAGAACGAGGCAGUUGAUUUGCAGGCUCUUUUCAGAAGCCCCAGGACAAGGGUGGGUGGAAAGUGCAAUUUGCAGAGAAGGAAAGGUGGAGGCACAUCCUGAAGCUUCAUGACACCAAUCACACCUCGCAGCCAAGCCCUCCUGCUGCUGGAGCCGCCUCCUCCUCUACCAACCUACUAAGCCUGCUGCAUUAGACCGCAGAAAGCUUCCUGGCCCAUAUUCCAACUCCUGCUACCUCCAGUUCACCUGCCAAGAGCUCCUGGUCCCAAUCGUGGUGACAAUCUUCAACCCACUGCACUUACCUGGCUCACAGCUUGGUCAAGGCAACCAAGCUCGGGUGCAAAAGGGUUCUUAAGGAAAGAACAAGUGCAAGAGAUGGAGCCUGAGAGAAACACCUAUGGGAAAGAAUAACAUCACCCGGUAGUGGGCAUCACCCACAGGGAACGGUUGUCAACCUGGGAGCAGGUCACAGUCGUGAAGGAAGGUUGGUUUAUUCAGCAUUCACUCAGAAAGGCUUCUCGUGGGUUAUG
Molecule: long non-coding RNA, 740 nt
Filed under: Calidris pygmaea (Spoon-billed sandpiper)
Lineage: Eukaryota; Metazoa; Chordata; Aves; Charadriiformes; Scolopacidae
Description: lncRNA (ENSCPGG00000007646.1)
Source: RNAcentral